CCGCUCCCGCCUGCCCACAAGCCGCCUUGGCCCCAGAGACACCCUAGAGAGGGCUAGCGCUGAAGCGUUUCCCGCUUUACAUUCCCCAUUGGCCCCCGAGCCCUUUCCGUUACCCUUUGGUGGUCUCUUGAUCAGCUAUAUGUGUUCCUAUAUCUCUGUUUAUCCACUAGCAUAGAGACCCAGGUGUCAUUGCGAGCGCUGCCCGCCUACUUUCUCCCUUCUCCAACUCUGAGAACAAGGCCUACUUUCUCCAACUCAAGGUCUACUUUCUCCCUUCUCCAGCUCUGAGAAUAAGGCCUACUUUCUCCAACUCUGACAAGUCCUACUUUCUCCCUUCUCCCUCUCUGGGAACAUGGUUUACUUUCUCCAACUCUGAGAACAAGGUCGACUUUCUCCCUUCUCCUUCUCUGGGAACAAGGUUUACUUUCUCCAACUCUGACAACAAGGCUUAAUUUGUCCCUUCUCCAUCUCUGAAAUCAAGCCCUACUUUCUCCCUUCUCCCUCUGAGAACAUAGUUUACUUUCUCCAACACUGAGAACAAGGCCUAUUUUCUCCAUCUCACAGAAUAAGGCCUACUUUCUCCAACUCUGAGAACAAGGCCUACUUUCUCCCUUCUCCAGCUCUCAGAAUAAGGCCUACUUUCUCCAGCUCUGAGAACAAGGCCUACUUUCUCCCUUCUCCAUUGAAAUCAAGCCCUACUUUCUCCCAUCUCCAUGGUUUGCCCAUGCCUGUAACUCUUUAAUGUGGGAGGAAUUGUAGUCAUGCGAUUGUACUGAGCAUGUUCAGAUGCAGGACUCCGUUUUGUUAGGCCUCGUUGGAGUGGCGGAGGAGGAAAAGGAAAGGGCCUGAGGCUGCUAGGAAUGGUGGGAGUUGGAGUCCAAAACACCUGGAGAGAGGUUUGCCCAUGCCUGUAACUCUUUAAUGUGGGAGGAAUUGUAGUCAUGCGAUUGUACUGAGCAUGUUCAGACGCAGGACUCCAUUUUGUUAGACCUCGGGUGGAGUGGCGGAGGAGGAAAAGGAAAGGGCCUGAGGCUGUUGGGAACGGUUUUCAUGAACACACGUCCUGUACUGAACAUGUUCAGACACAGGACUCCAUUUUGUUAGACCUCAGUGGAGUGGCAGAGGAGGAAAAGGAAAGGGCCUGAGGCUGUUGGGAAUGAUUUUCAUAAACACACGUCCUUUGUUCACAGCGACUCAUACUUGCAGUAUUUUUCAUUGCUGCCAAUACUCUAAAAGUGUAUCUAUGGUUGAAUUGGCGGGUCCGGGAAAGAAACAACCUUUAUUACUCGCGCGGUUCCAGAGCCGGGACGAGUCCUCUGCUUCCUCGCCUUCUCUCUGCAAAUCAAAUCAGAAAUUGGACAGAAAUCAAAGGAGCCCAACUCUCUGCGGAGCACAGAUGGUCUCCAUUGAAGCGGAGGGGUCCGGGCACGUUUGCAGAUUCCAACCAACAACAACAACGACAAAAAAACGCAUCCCUUGCAAAUUAAGUUUGGGAACCAUUCGCGCCAAUGGGGGGAAAAAAACCCGGAGGAUCCUGAUUCUGCACCCCAAAGCCUUCUCCGGGCGGACUCCAGCUCAAGGCCUCGCGCAAAACCCAUCCCUGGUUUUAUGCGAAAUCCCUGCGUUUGCCGUUCUGCGCCAUAUGUUGCCUUGCGACCUCAGCUGUGUAGGAAGCGGAGGGAGGGGAGCAAAAAAGCAGCGUGAGGAAAAGAAAUGCAGAGAUGGCCGCGUUCCCAUUUUCCUGGGCUUCCCACUUCGAUAUCAAUUCGAGGCCCUUCUUUGCAAACCAUGUCUCUUUGCAAAUCCAUCACCUUCUUAACUAUUUGGACUAGAUAGUAGGCAUGUCCGGUCGAUGAAAAAAACGUUUCAAUUCUCGUUUCUAAAGUAGGGGGCGCUGGCGCUUCGAUAUAGAAAGUAUUUCCGAUUUUUUCACCCAAAAACUUCGGAUAUUUCCGAAAAUUCGUAAUGAUUCUAAAUGUUUCUAAAAUUGCGGACGCGCAUGCGCAAUUGCCAAAAAAAAAGGAACCCGGGGGGGGGGAGGGGACUUUUACAGGGCUCUCCCGCCCUCAUUUCUUGAGCUAUCUUCAUCAACCCUAGCCCCCACCUUUGCGUCCAUCGUGGAAGCUUCUGAUUGGCUGGGGAGCGGCAGCCAUGUUAGGCUGCGCUAAGCUCCCAUUCUAGGUAGGUUGCAGAAACAA
Anolis carolinensis (green anole) is the source of this 2198-nucleotide long non-coding RNA. RefSeq lists it as uncharacterized. Lineage: Eukaryota; Metazoa; Chordata; Lepidosauria; Squamata; Anolidae. The transcript has 2 exons. The record is from RefSeq and is a predicted model, not a curated record.